RNAcentral lists this long non-coding RNA (1750 nucleotides) under Olea europaea subsp. europaea. The record is from RNAcentral. Lineage: Eukaryota; Viridiplantae; Streptophyta; Magnoliopsida; Lamiales; Oleaceae.
GUUCCAAGCCCGUCACUAUGCAAGAACCUCACAAGAAAGAGCAACAGUUUGUUUACAAGGUUCGGAUCUCAACUCACACACAAUCAGAUCAUCGAUCCAACAAAAGGAUCUCACAAUACUCCACCAAAUCGAAACCUGACCUAGACCAAAAAUAGUAUCUGACUUCACAGUUUAAUAUCUACCGAAACAAGGCAAAAAAUUGCUCAAAUACAACACCAAACAUCGGCUAUUACUCGCUGAAAAACGGACCAAUUUUCCGGCCAAAAUACCACCGGACCAUAGACCACAAAACAGCCGAAAUACUACAGUUGAUACCCCAUCAACACCGAUCAGAAUUUCAGAUUUAAUACAAGAGAAAAACUCCUUGUGAAAUCACCAAGAGAGACCCUUCGAGAGAGAGAGAGAGAGAGAGAGACGAGAGGAAGAGAAAAUGAAAAAAAUCUGCCUUUUUGAAAAAGCCGUCCACCAUGUUUUAAUUAAAAGAGGAUCUAAUUUCAACCAUUGAUUAAAAUCAAUGGUCGAUGCUUUUUCCAAAGAAAAACAAAUCCAUGUGAAAACUAAUUUGUCAAUAGGAAAUUACCAUGUAGCCAACUAGUUGUAAAAACAUUUUGGCACCUUUAAAAAACGUGUUUUGGUUUUGAAAAUAUUUCACAAUCUUCACCUUGUUUUCACAAACCCUUAGCUCUCUCUAGUUGCUACAAUGCAUGUGACGGUAAUGAUUUUUGCUCUAUAUCAUCACCCUUAGUACCUGUAAAAGAAAUUAGCCUGUAUCAAUAUGUAGUAAAGAUAAACAUAACUUAAACUUACCUGCAUUUAGAAUUUUGGUUCCCAUAUCAGAUGGGUUAUCAUCGAUAUGAAUUUUUUCAAGUAUAACAUCACCACAAGCAAUUUUUUCACGUAUGAAAUAAUACUUCACCUCAAUGUGUUUAGAUCUUUCAUGAUAAACUGGAUUUUUGUAUAAAAGUAAAGCACCUUGACUAUCGGUGAAAAUAACAGGUGACACUUGCAAAAAAUUCAACUCCCCCAAAAUUCCUUUCAACCAGAUACAUUCUUUUACAUAUUUGGUUAUUGCCACAUAUUCAGCCUUCGUGCUGGAUAAUGUGACAAUAGAUUGAAGUUGUGACUUCCAUGUGAUACAAUUAUCACCUAGUGUGAAGAAAUAGGCGGUAGUAGACUUUCUUUUAUCUUUAUCACCAGCAAAGUCGGAGUCUACAUACCCCUUUAAAAUGAGCUGUUCAGAUCUUCUUUCAAACACCAAUCCCACAUCUAAUGUCCCGGCAAUAUAUCUUAAAAGCCACUUUAACCCCGCCCAAUGAGGUUUCCCCGGAUUAGACAUGAAUCUACUUAAAAAACUUAUAGCAUAAGCCAAAUCCGGCCUAGUAGUAAUCAUAGAAAACAUGACUGAUCCUAUGACAUUAGCAUAUGGGAUAUUUUUCAUUUCUUCCAUUUCACUUUCAGUUUUAGGAUACUGAGAUGAUGAUAAAUUCAUAUGGGCUGCAAGAGGUACAUUAACUUUCUUGGCUUCUUUCAUGCCAAACUUGGUUACAACUUUGUUCAAAUAAGCACUUUGUGUUAUAGUUAAAAUGUUAUCUUGCCUAUUUCUGUUGAUAACCAUUCCCAAAAUUUUCUUAGCAUUUCCCAAGUCAUUCAUAUCAAAUUCUGAUUUUAGAAGCCCUUUAAGUUUCAAAAUUUCAAAUUUACUAGAGCUGGCUAAUAGCAUGUCAUCAACAUAUAGAAGUAAAUAAAUUUC